RNAcentral lists this ribosomal RNA (380 nucleotides) under uncultured bacterium. RNAcentral describes it as "bacterial SSU rRNA". It matches the Rfam family "Bacterial small subunit ribosomal RNA", at positions 796 to 1165 of the family's 1533-position model. The record is from RNAcentral.
CUAGCCGUAAACGAUGGGCACUGGGUAGGGGGGAAGCCUAUGCUCUUCCCUGCCGAAGCAAAUGUAUUAAGUGCCCCGCCUGGGGAGUACGCUCGCAAGGGUAAAACUCAAAGGAAUUGACGGGGGCUCACACAAGCGGUGGAGCAUGUGGUUCAAUUCGAAGCAACGCGAAGAACCUUACUUGGCCUUGACAUCCAUGGAUUAGUCCCCUGAAAGGGGGAGUACUGCUCUUCGGAGCCGGAACAUGGACAGGUGUUGCAUGGCUGUCGUCAGCUCGUGUCGUGAGAUGUUGGGUUAAGUCCCGUAACGAGCGCAACCCUUGUCGCUAGUUGCCAGCGGGUAAUGCCGGGGACUCUAGCGAGACCGCCGGUGUCAAACCG